This 65-nucleotide transfer RNA is filed under the name Rhinebothrium megacanthophallus. Its description in RNAcentral is "tRNA-Pro". The record is from RNAcentral. Lineage: Eukaryota; Metazoa; Platyhelminthes; Cestoda; Rhinebothriidea; Rhinebothriidae.
CUGACCUUAGUUUAAGUUAGAAUAGAGGUUUUGGGGAUCUUUGGUCUUUUAAUUAAGAGGUUUGG